UUCCAGGUUGAUCCUGCCGGAGGCUACCGCUAUUGGAGUACGAUUAAGCCAUGCGAGUCGAGAGUCCUCUGGGACUCGCGCGUACCUGCUCCAGUAACACUGUGGAGUACACCUGACCACUAUGCUUGGGUGAAUACACCUCUGGGACAACUGAGACAUAAUGCCCCACUAGCCCACAUACAGCACUGGAACUGGUGAGUAGGGUCAACAGCUCCGGCGUGGACUAAGAUGUGGCCUGCGCCUGUAUCAGAGUUGUAGGUGGGUGUAAAAGUACACCUCUUAGCCAAUACAACCGCUGUACAGCGCGUUGUUGAGGAAGACAAUUUGCACUGAGAAACUGGAUUCAUUGAGACACCGAUAUCCAUGACACCUA
RNAcentral lists this ribosomal RNA (373 nucleotides) under uncultured archaeon. Its description in RNAcentral is "partial 16S ribosomal RNA". The record is from RNAcentral.